AGUGAACGCUGGCGGUAGGCCUAACACAUGCAAGUCGAACGGCAGCACAGUAAGAGCUUGCUCUUACGGGUGGCGAGUGGCGGACGGGUGAGGAAUACAUCGGAAUCUACUUUUUCGUGGGGGAUAACGUAGGGAAACUUACGCUAAUACCGCAUACGACCUACGGGUGAAAGCAGGGGAUCUUCGGACCUUGCGCGAUUGAAUGAGCCGAUGUCGGAUUAGCUAGUUGGCGGGGUAAAGGCCCACCAAGGCGACGAUCCGUAGCUGGUCUGAGAGGAUGAUCAGCCACACUGGAACUGGGACACGGUCCAGACUCCUAAGGGAGGCAGCAGUGGGGAAUAUUGGACAAUGGGCGCAAGCCUGAUCCAGGCAUACCGCGUGGGUGAAGAAGGCCUUCGAGUUGUAAAGCCCUUUUGUUGGGAAAGAAAAGCAGCAGGUUAAUACCCCGAUGUUCUGACGGUACCCAAAGAAUAAGCACCGGCUAACUUCGUG
This 492-nucleotide ribosomal RNA is filed under the name uncultured bacterium. RNAcentral describes it as "partial 16S ribosomal RNA". It matches the Rfam family "Bacterial small subunit ribosomal RNA", at positions 29 to 507 of the family's 1533-position model. The record is from RNAcentral.